RNAcentral lists this ribosomal RNA (1613 nucleotides) under Meristaspis sp. APGD-2010. RNAcentral describes it as "SSU rRNA". It matches the Rfam family "Eukaryotic small subunit ribosomal RNA". The record is from RNAcentral. Lineage: Eukaryota; Metazoa; Arthropoda; Arachnida; Mesostigmata; Spinturnicidae.
GGGGUGUGUUCUGUUAUUUGGAUAACUGUGGUAAUUCUAGAGCUAAUACAUGACAUAUGCGUUCAGCAAACGCUGGAUGUGCUUUUAUUAGUGUAAACCAAGUCUUCGGACGGAAGUGGUGACUCUGAAUAACUUUGCCGAGCAUUUAAGCUUUAUGCUGGUGCUAUUCCUUCAAAGUUUCUGCUCUAUCAACUGUCGAUGGUAUAUUAUAUGUUUACCAUGGUUGUAACGGGUGACGGGGAAUUAGGGUUCGAUUCCGGAGAGGGAGCCUGAGAAAUGGCUACCACAUCUAAGGAAGGCAGCAGGCGCGCAAAUUACCCAAUCCCGGCUCGGGGAGGUAGUGACAAUAAAUAACAAUGCGGGACUCUUUAGAGGCUUCGUAAUUGGAAUGAGUACAUUCUAAAUCCUUUAACGAGGAACAAUUGGAGGGCAAGUCUGGUGCCAGCAGCCGCGGUAAUUCCAGCUCCAAUAGCGUAUAUUAAAAUUGUUGCGUCUAAAAAGCUCGUAGUUUGAAAACUUGUCUUGGCGGAUUCUGAUUGGCUCUCUACAUGGGUCACUGUUCGCCGAGCACAAAUAUGGAUAGCUGUUCUUGCCGUCUUUACUGGCUGGCCUGAAUCGGUUGUCAAAUAUCACUUUGAUUAAAUUAGAGUGCUUAAAGCAAGUAAAUUUACUGGAAUAUAAAUGCAUGGAAUGAUGGAAUAUGUUAUUGUUCUAUUUGUUGGUUUUUGAACAAUAAAAUGAUUGAAAGGAACGGUUGGGGGCAUUCGUAUUGUUGUGAGAGAGGUGAAAUUCUUAGACCACAGCAAGACGAACUACUGCGAAAGCAUUUGCCAAGAAUGUUUUCAUUGAUCAAGAACGAAAGUUAGAGGUUCGAAGGCGAUCAGAUACCGCCCUAGUUCUAACCAUAAACUAUGCCAACUAGCAAUUUGCUUACGUAUGUUUAUGACUAGGUGAGAGGCCACGGGAAACCAAAGUAGGGUUAUGGGGGAAGUAUGGUUGCAAAGCUGAAACUUAAAGGAAUUGACGGAAGGGCACCACCAGGAGUGGAGCCUGCGGCUUAAUUUGACUCAACACGGGAAAACUUACCUGGUCCUGACACUGGAAGGAUUGACAGAUUGAUAGCUCUUUCUUGAUUUGGUGGAUGGUGGUGCAUGGCCGUUCUUAGUUGGUGGAGUGAUUUGUCUGGUUAAUUCCGAUAACGAACGAGACUCUAGCCUGUUAAAUAACGCUGAAGAUCUUGUCUCUUGCGGCGUUUCUUAAUGGGAUCAAGUGUGUUUAACACUUUGAAACAGAGCAAUAACAGGUCUGUGAUGCCCUUAGAUGUCCGGGGCCGCACGCGCGCUACAUUGAAAGACAAAAUAAGUAUUUCUAGCCUUUAACGAGGAUAGUAAUCUUUUAAUGUUUUUCAUAAUGGGGAUAGGGGAUUGCAAUUGUGCCCCUUGAACGAGGAAUUCCCAGUAAGUGCUAGUCAUCAGCUAGUACUGAUUACGUCCCUGCCCUUUGUACACACCGCCCGUCGCUACUACCGAUUGAAUGGUUUAGUGAGAUCAUCCGAGCAGAUGCGUAGACACGUUGUCGUGUAUACGACGUUUGCGAAGAAGAUCAAACUUGAU